RNAcentral lists this ribosomal RNA (510 nucleotides) under uncultured bacterium. RNAcentral describes it as "partial 16S ribosomal RNA". It matches the Rfam family "Bacterial small subunit ribosomal RNA", at positions 28 to 507 of the family's 1533-position model. The record is from RNAcentral.
GACGAACGCUGGCGGCGUGCUUAACACAUGCAAGUCGAACGAAGAGCGACGGAAGCUUGCUUCUAUCAAUCUUAGUGGCGAACGGGUGAGUAACGCGUAAUCAACCUGCCCUUCAGAGGGGGACAACAGUUGGAAACGACUGCUAAUACCGCAUACGAUCUAAUCUCGGCAUCGAGGAUAGAUGAAAGGUGGCCUCUACAUGUAAGCUAUCACUGAAGGAGGGGAUUGCGUCUGAUUAGCUAGUUGGAGGGGUAACGGCCCACCAAGGCGAUGAUCAGUAGCCGGUCUGAGAGGAUGAACGGCCACAUUGGGACUGAGACACGGCCCAGACUCCUACGGGAGGCAGCAGUGGGGAAUCUUCCGCAAUGGACGAAAGUCUGACGGAGCAACGCCGCGUGAGCGAUGACGGCCUUCGGGUUGUAAAGCUCUGUUAAUCGGGACGAAAGGCCUUCUUGCGAAUAGUGAGAAGGAUUGACGGUACCGGAAUAGAAAGCCACGGCUAACUACGUG